This 101-nucleotide long non-coding RNA is filed under the name Octopus sinensis (East Asian common octopus). Its description in RNAcentral is "uncharacterized LOC118766332, transcript variant X3". The record is from RNAcentral. Lineage: Eukaryota; Metazoa; Mollusca; Cephalopoda; Octopoda; Octopodidae.
AAAUAAAACAUAUGCAUAUAUACAUACAUAUAUCACGUCUAGCCAUGCAACUACACGCAUGAGAAUAUAUACAUAAAACAAAACAUACAAAUCUGCACAUA